CAGUUGCUGCGGAAACUAUCGGCGGAUACUUUCUGCUAUAAACCACAUUCGGAGAUUGUGGAAAAUUGCUGCAAAAGCUUGAGUGAGUCCAUGUAUAAUCACUUCUGGUCAUCGAUUGGAAGUUGACGCGAUUGGAUCUAAACGUUGGAAAUGGUUCGCUGAGAAACGUGACAGAGUAGACUGGUUUCGGAGCGGAUUUAACAAAACGGUGGAUGAAUCAUCAAACGGAAAUAUUUCUAACUAUUUUCAUCGAAUACAGCGAGUCAACAUCCGAGGUAAACAUGUUGCCGUCACCGGUGGAAGCAGAGCAAUCGGACUGUGGGCCACAAAGCAAUGCAUUCGACUCGGUGCGAAUGUCAAUAUCGUCCCAGAGAAUAUUCACCUGCUUAAAAAGCAACUGCUCGGGCGAGCGGUUCGCGAAGAAAAAAAUAGCAACGAUCUGGGGGAAAAGGUGUCCAGCACAUCGAACAAGCUUCAGGAUCUUUUUUCAUGUUGAUAAACUGUGCUUGGAUGGCAAUUUUUAUUGUUGCGAGCAGAAUCAAAAAGUACAUCCGGAUGAAUGAUAACAUGGCGUCCAGUAUUAAAACAGUAGUUUUCUUCAGGCGGAACUGCGAUGAGUACAUUAAGGUGUACGUCAAGUCAACUGCAUUAUUUGGUGUUUUCUUCUGUGUUAUUUGGAAGGACCCGAGCAAGUCUUCGAGGCACAAUCCGGGAUCAAGAACACAAGCGCUUCCUGUUGUGCAGCGGGCCGGACAUUUCCACUAAAAAGCUUCCUGGAGGGAGGCGCAGCAAAGGUGGAAGACAGUUAUGUUCGGUGAAUAAGCGUGCGGAACGAUGUCUGGAAUCGAUAUAUCUACAGUGUUAGGAUUUAGAAAUGGUGUUAGUGGCAAAAUUUAUAGUUGUAAAUAGUGUGCAUUAAGAUUGUGUAGUGUACCAAAAUAUUGG
Uranotaenia lowii is the source of this 945-nucleotide long non-coding RNA. RefSeq lists it as uncharacterized. The transcript is spliced from 4 exons. Lineage: Eukaryota; Metazoa; Arthropoda; Insecta; Diptera; Culicidae. The record is from RefSeq and is a predicted model, not a curated record.